AGUGAACGCUGGCGGCAGGCCUAACACAUGCAAGUCGAACGGCAGCACAGUAAGAGCUUGCUCUUACGGGUGGCGAGAGGCGGACGGGUGAGGAAUACAUCGGAAUCUACUUUUUCGUGGGGGAUAACGUAGGGAAACUUACGCUAAUACCGCAUACGACGUACGGUGGAAGGCAUUGGAUCUUCGCACCUGGCGCGAUUGAAUGAGCCGAUGUCGGGUUAGCUAGUGGGCGGGGUAAAGGCCCACGUAGUCGACGAUAGGCAGCUGGUCUGAGAGGAUGGUCGGCCACACUAGAGCUGGGACACGGUCCAGGCUCCUACGAGAGGCACCAGUGGGGAAUGUUAGGCAGCAGGCGGGAGCCUUAUACAGUCGUACCGCGUCUGUGAAGAAGGCCUUCGGGUUGUAAUGCCCUUUUGUUGGGUGAAAAACGCAGCCGCUUGAUACGCCGCGGUAGUGACGGUACUGAAUGAAGAAGCACCGGCUAACUUCGUG
This 492-nucleotide ribosomal RNA is filed under the name uncultured bacterium. RNAcentral describes it as "partial 16S ribosomal RNA". It matches the Rfam family "Bacterial small subunit ribosomal RNA", at positions 29 to 507 of the family's 1533-position model. The record is from RNAcentral.